Molecule: unclassified non-coding RNA, 1257 nt
Filed under: Yarrowia lipolytica
Lineage: Eukaryota; Fungi; Ascomycota; Dipodascomycetes; Dipodascales
Source: RNAcentral
CCAACAGGGCAAAGCGCAAGCACGUCUGCUGGAGGGAGGUGGAGGGGAGGAGAAGGCGCGGCGGGUCAUGUGGAGGAGAGCGUGCGCGGACGCCUUAUCCAUCCCGUCAACCCGCCGCCGAGCCGCCAAACCGCCGAGCCGCCAAACCGCCAAACCGCCAAAGUCGCCCGUCACGUGUCUUGUUGUGUGUCGUUUCACACCUCCUUUCUCCCCAAACCGUCUUUCAUGUUGCGUAUUUAUCAGAUACCUAAAAUGGAGAGUGCUACGAUAUAUCCCAUAUUGUGUACCUACGCGGUAGGUACUACAGGUAGUGCCAACGUGUAGACGAAGGUGGCUGCUGCUGAGCUGAGCUCCGUCACGUGAUUGCCUGUCGGCGCGGACAAAUAUCCCGUACUCGCUUCGUCUCUUGGUCUCUCCGCCUCUCAGUCUCUCGACUCGUGCACUCGUGCUGAUCAUGCACACUGCUCACUUUGCUAUUAUUAAUGUGUGGUGCCUGUGCUUGUACGUGCUGAGUGCAACAAGCUCCCCGCCAAAAAAACACCGGCUUCAUCCCAACCCGCGCCAAACCGCAACAAGGAACACAACCACAAGUGGCCGGAUCAGUUGAGGGCAGUACAGCACGGGUCCAUGUAUCGUGACAACGCGCUGACCGAAGGGAAAGUUGGUUUGUGUCCAGCGGCUGCUCCACAUCACGUGCAGCCCAUGACGUAAGAGGCGCAUGUCUCUUUAGCCGCUCGUACAGGCCCCUGCUCGGUUCUCCCAAACGCACAGGUGACCAUGUGGGCACAAUUUUCCGAGCGCUGAUGACGUCGUUGUGCGUGAGCUGCGAGAGGGCAGCAGGAGAUAUCAACAGCAGAAGAUAUCAACAGCAGGAGAUAUCAAUAGCAGGAGAUAUCAAUAGCAGGAGAGGGAAUGAGCGGCAGAAGGGGAUGAAGGGAAAGUGCAGUACGAGUACAAUACAAUACUAUUGUUGAUGUUGAUGUGCUCUUGGGUGCUAGACGUAUUCACGUCGCUAUGGUCUGACAAUUGAUGGUAAAGUACCGACCCUUGAUGGUACAGUAUUGUACGAGUACUAGUACAGUACAGAACUGACAAUUGAUGGUGCCGUAUCCACUGUACAGUACCGUACCUUGUCAUACUUGCUUAUGCUACACCUACGGUACAGCUUCUGAUGUAGAACACAACUGUGUGAAUAUCCAUACUGUAGAGAAGGGAUCGACUGGUUCUAUAGUUCCUAUACAUUGGUAGCCCUGCAGC